This 374-nucleotide long non-coding RNA is filed under the name Nicotiana benthamiana. RNAcentral describes it as "long non-coding RNA (NBEN_LNC007900)". The record is from RNAcentral. Lineage: Eukaryota; Viridiplantae; Streptophyta; Magnoliopsida; Solanales; Solanaceae.
AUUGACAGAUUUGUUCGAGAAUUCCCUACACUUUUCUCUACUAUAGAGGAUUUCUUGUGGUUCAAAUUAUCUGCUGUACGUGAGACUCCUGUCAGGUCUUCUGUUGUCCUGAAUGAGGGGUUGGCACCUUACACUUUGGAUGAUUUGCAAGCUUACCUAAACAGUCCUGUCAGGUCUUCUGUUGUCCUAAAUGAGGGGUUGGCACCUUACACUUUGGAAGAUUUGCAAGCUUACCUAAACAAGUUUGAGCCAUCACACUAUACUAAGAAUGGAAAGGAUCCUUUGGUUUAUCCUUAUGUUUUGCUUUUAAGCAUCCAGCUACUUCCAGCUGUCCUUUAUUUGUCCAAGGAUAUGGGAGAUGAAGGAUAUAAUGU